AGCUGUGGGGAAUACCAGCUCGAAUUAGGCGUGUGUAUCCUCCUUGUGAUACUUCUGGGCUUCAGGUGCUUCCGCUGGAAAAGUCAAUGAAGCCUCCGAAGAUAGUAUCUGUCGCUCAGUUCCGUCCAGAGAAGGCACACCCGCUUCAACUUGAGGCGUUUGCAGUUGCCAUAAAAAAGUUAGACCAAGAUUUGCCAAGGCCGAAAAUCCAACUAGUGGGUAGUUGUAGGAAUGAAG
RNAcentral lists this unclassified non-coding RNA (237 nucleotides) under Hevea brasiliensis (rubber tree). Lineage: Eukaryota; Viridiplantae; Streptophyta; Magnoliopsida; Malpighiales; Euphorbiaceae. The record is from RNAcentral.